RNAcentral lists this ribosomal RNA (505 nucleotides) under uncultured bacterium. RNAcentral describes it as "bacterial SSU rRNA". It matches the Rfam family "Bacterial small subunit ribosomal RNA", at positions 9 to 518 of the family's 1533-position model. The record is from RNAcentral.
AGAGUUGAUCCUGGCUAGGAUGAACGCUGGCGGCGUGCCUAACACAUGCAAGUCGGGCGUGAACCCUUAGAAUGAAACUUCGGUCGAAUGAAGAGGGGAAGCGGCGGACGGGUGAGUAACGCGUAGGCAACCUGCCCGUACAGAGGGAUAGCCUCGGGAAACCGGGAUUAAAACCUCAUAAUACCAUGGUAUCACAUGAUGCAAUGGUCAAAGAUUUAUCGGUAUGGGAUGGGCCUGCGUCUGAUUAGCUGGUUGGUGGGGUAACGGCCUACCAAGGCAACGAUCAGUAGCCGACCUGAGAGGGUAAUCGGCCACAUUGGAACUGAGACACGGUCCAAACUCCUACGGGAGGCAGCAGUGGGGAAUAUUGCACAAUGGGCGAAAGCCCUGAUGCAGCAACGCCGCGUGAGCGAAGAAGGCCUUUGGGUCGUAAAGCUCUGUCGGGAAGGAAGAUAAUGACGGUACUUCCCGAGGAAGCCCCGGCUAACUACGUGCCAGCAGCGGC